RNAcentral lists this transfer RNA (71 nucleotides) under Candidatus Omnitrophus magneticus. It matches the Rfam family "tRNA". Rfam says of the family: Transfer RNA (tRNA) molecules are approximately 80 nucleotides in length. Their secondary structure includes four short double-helical elements and three loops (D, anti-codon, and T loops). Further hydrogen bonds mediate the characteristic L-shaped molecular structure. tRNAs have two regions of fundamental functional importance: the anti-codon, which is responsible for specific mRNA codon recognition, and the 3' end, to which the tRNAs corresponding amino acid is attached (by aminoacyl-tRNA synthetases). tRNAs cope with the degeneracy of the genetic code in two manners: having more than one tRNA (with a specific anti-codon) for a particular amino acid; and 'wobble' base-pairing, i.e. permitting non-standard base-pairing at the 3rd anti-codon position. Lineage: Bacteria; Pseudomonadati; Candidatus Omnitrophota. The record is from Rfam by way of RNAcentral.
GCGAGCGUAGCACAGUGGUAGUGUGGUGGCCUUCCAAGCCGCUUACGUGGGUUCGAUUCCCAUCGCUCGCU